CGCGUAGGUGGUAGUGCAAGUCUGGGGUGGAAUCCCAGGGCUUAACCCUGGAACUGCCUUGGAAACUGUAUUACUUGAGUCAGUGAGGGGAGGGUAGAAUUCCUGGUGUAACGGUGAAAUGCGUAGAUAUCAGGAGGAAGGCCUGUGGCGAAGGCGGCCCUCUGGCGCUGAACUGACACUGAGGCGCGAAAGCGUGGGUAGCAAACAGGAUUAGAUACCCUGGUAGUCCACGCCCUAAACGGUGGGUACUAGGUGUGGGGCUCGUAAGGGUUCUGUGCCGAAGCGAAAGCAUUAAGUACCCCGCCUGGGGAGUACGGCCGCAAGGUUGAA
Molecule: ribosomal RNA, 330 nt
Filed under: uncultured bacterium
Lineage: Bacteria
Description: bacterial SSU rRNA
Rfam family: Bacterial small subunit ribosomal RNA
Source: RNAcentral